Long non-coding RNA from Equus caballus (horse), 2121 nucleotides. NCBI's taxonomy places the organism in Eukaryota, Metazoa, Chordata, Mammalia, Perissodactyla, Equidae. The record is from Ensembl.
CAGAGAUUGGACAGUGACCGGAGAGACAGGAGACCCCAGCCCAGCCUGGUGACCCAGACAUGGGGCCACCUCCCCCUGCUCCUGAGGGACCAGCACCGAGUUAGAGGGGUCUGGGGAGAGAGCGGUCCUGGGGGUCCCACGGAGUGGAAGGGCAUCAGUGCCAGCUUGGAGAUGGGGGUGAGAGGAGACUGAAUCAGAGGGCCCUGACCACGUGGGGAGCCACAGCGAGAGGCGCCCCUGGCCCCCCAGGGACUUGUCCUGAUGGAAGGGUCUCACUCACUCCAGCCAGGUAGACCCCAGGCCACAGCAGGCUGGCACUGUCCUGAGAGGCCAGGGUCCGAGGUGCUUGGCUCCCCGAUGCCUUCUCCCUCCUACAGCUGGAACCUUCCCUGCUGACCUCAGGCAGGCGGGGUGGGAGGGAGCAUGAGCAGAGUCCUCCCCAAAGUGCAGGCCUGGCCGCCGCCUCCCACAGAGACUCAGGAUGGGAAGGCAGGGAACAGGGGACAUCAGAGCCCCUUCCUCAGAUUCAGAACACAGCCAGCUCCACUCCCCUUCACUCCUGCUCUGGGUGCAGGGAGGCACGAGGGUGUGAGAAGCCAGCUCUCCUGUCCUGCUCACCUCGCAGUCCCCCAGGGCUCUGAGCCAGGACCAGGACAGAGGGCUCCGAAGGGGGCCUCAGGCAUUGUUCUUUUGUCCUUUUUGUUGGGACCCGCUCUGCCUGUCCCUGCAGAGGAGUGACUGGAGGAGCAGGGGGAGGUGGGGAAGAGCCCAGGGCGCUGACGGCUGUGGUUGUCUGGUCACAUCCUCUUAGGUCUCCUCCGCAAGAGUCUCCAUCCCCACAAGGAAGGUUCUGGGGGGUGGCAUGAGGCUUUCUCUGCUCAUCUUCCCUCCCGCCCAAGCGCCUGGACCUGGUGGGUGCUCUGUAAAUCCGAAUGAACACACGGAUGAUGGAUGGAGGGAUGGAUGGACAGAGGAAGGGAACCCGAGAUCAACGAGUGAGUGCGCCUGUGUGAGGACAGACUCGCUCCUCCUUGAACCCUUCCUCUCCUACAGCCCUUCAGUUUCGUGACACAGACUUUACUAAAAGUUAUCCUUCAACACAACCAUAUCCUAAGCCAGACACUGAGAAAUCGUUCCCUCUGGAUCUACAUGACCAUCACAGGACCCUGCCUGCCCCCUCGGGGUGCGCUCCUAACAGCUUUGCCAUCAGGGCUGCUCAGGGGUGUCUGCCCACACCCUACCUGUGCCCAUCUGGGGGGGGGUGAGGGGGGCCUGCAAACCAGGCACUCUGGUAGGCAGGAGGGAAAUGCUACUCUCUCGGCUUUACAGAAGAGGAAACUGAGGCUCAGAGAGGCCUGAAGUCACUAAGCCCGAAAGUAGCAGAUGCAAGAUUUGAACCCAGACCUCAGAGCACCCUCGGGUACCCCAGCCUGCCAUCUGCUAUCCUCCGCUGAGGGCUAUGAAGCCGGAACCAGGCCCGGGGGGCAGCUCAGCCUGGGCCUGGAGGGUCGGGAGGAUAGGACCCCGCGGGAGGGGGAGGGGGAGAGUGGGGUGUUUCCUGCGGCUCGGGGGGCCCAGCCAACAUGCAGCCCGAAACCCAGGUCUCGGCCGCGGGAUGUGUGCAAGACCAGCCUCCUCCGGCGAAUGGAAAGAAACACAGCCUCUCUAUUUCCAUGGUUUAUCUCAUCCUUUGAAAAUCUCAACUUUUCUAAGUACAUAAUAUAUAAACCUAGUAAUAAAGUGCCUAUAGCUUGUAAAUAAAUAAAUCCACACGCACUGGAACACUUUCCUGAAAGGGAGAAAACCGCUCCCCCACCCCCACCCCCACCCCCAACCCCAGGGCCCCGGUAUAGCAGGUGCUCAAUCCACAUCCGCGGCUGAGGGCGUGCCCAGCCCCCAGCUGUGGUGGGGGGUGGGGUGGGGGGAGGGGCAGGCAGCAGGGAGGGGGUUCUUCCAGGGUUCCAGGGUCAGGAGACAGACCCCGCCAGCCCCCCGCCCCCACCCCGGGGCCCAGGCCCACCUGCACCCUCGGCAGGGCGUGGCUGCGCCGGUUCUGGUGCCCGCCUGGCGCGGCGCCACCUUCCGCGGGGUGGCCGCGAGGAUACCGGGAAGGGAGGCGGG